CACAGAUACCUGCAGCUGCUGUUGCUACUACUGCAUGGCCUGCACUGCUUCAGUGAGGUCCCUGACCUGCUGAACUAGUAGGUCAAACUGCUUAAUGCCAACUACCGUUGUCGGAGGAGGAGGAGCCUGAAAAACUGGAGACGAGGUCAGAGCUUGCAGAUCUCGCUGAGAUCUGCCCACGGAGGCCGUGGAUCACCUGGUGGAUGCCUUUCGGGGAGGCAUUAGGUAAGGAUCUGGCAGGAGAAGAAGAAAAAAAUAUCGAAGAAGAUGAUCGAAGACAGUC
This 283-nucleotide long non-coding RNA is filed under the name Elaeis guineensis (African oil palm). RNAcentral describes it as "long non-coding RNA (EGUI_LNC081471)". Lineage: Eukaryota; Viridiplantae; Streptophyta; Magnoliopsida; Arecales; Arecaceae. The record is from RNAcentral.